Long non-coding RNA from Syngnathus acus (greater pipefish), 1563 nucleotides. RefSeq lists it as uncharacterized. NCBI's taxonomy places the organism in Eukaryota, Metazoa, Chordata, Actinopteri, Syngnathiformes, Syngnathidae. The record is from RefSeq and is a predicted model, not a curated record. The transcript is spliced from 3 exons.
CGUCAUCAUCCAGCACCUCCUCCAUUGCUUUCUCCAGCUGCUCACUACCGUUCCAAGACAUCUGGUGGAGGAAGGACCAUGAAUAUUCAAAGCCUUGAGGUGAGCCAGUGGCACCAGGCUGUACCAGAACAAACUCCUCGCUGGUGACGGUGGCCACUGACUCUGUGGAACUGCUGACUUUCCGCAGAGAGGAGCUGUCAUCCAUGGCUGACUCUUCUCAGGAAGUGCAGGGGAGACCAGAGUUGAAUCUCUCCCCUUUCCUCCCCACUUCAGCCACUUCUGGAUAAAAAAAAAAAAAAAAAACAAGCUUGUGUUACAACUUAAAAGAAACAUUUGGACUUUUAAAACUUCUUCUAUACAUGAAAAUGUUUGUUCCUUCUAUUCAGACAUGCACACAAAGGCAUGGACAGCAACCACGUCAUGUGCUCCAAUCAUACUUAUUGAAUUAUAGCAAGUAGCAUGAACAAUCGAAGCAAAUAAAGGCUCACUGCCACAGAGAAUCAAACCAAUAGCGCAAAUGUUGGAAAAAUGUGCAUAACUGCCUCUUCCAGCACUUACUACAAUACACAAAUACGUCCCAUUUGACAUAUAUCCUGCACGUCAUGCAAUGGCUGCAUUUCUUGUUACUAUUGUAUGUGUAAUGCAUAUUAAUAAUCAAUAAUAAACUGAAGUGAACUCAACUUGCUGGUAGAAAAGUGCCGAAAUUAGCACCCGGUUAUUACAAACCUCGUUGCUCAUGAUUUAAAGCUAGGCAACACCAAAAUAAACUGAAGUAAUAUGUUACAUUGCAUCAGGGAGGGAGAAUGUGUCUGCGGGUUUGUGAGGCAGUGACAAUCCCAACACUGACGUUCCUACACAUGAUGGAGAAAUUCAUCCAUGCAUCAACAUUUUCUUUAUUUAUUACAAAUUAAUUAUAAUUCAACCCAUCUUGUUUUAGGUAGCAUCCCUAUUGUUUACUGUCGAUAAAUGACUACCAACAUACAGUAAAUGGAAAAGGCUGUUGUGGCAACCUGUAUUGUGCACUGAUCCAAAAGCCCAAGCAGAUAUUGACAUUGCAGGUGAGCAAAUAACAGCACAAUGUGCACCUCACUUUCAAAUCAGUGACACAAAGAAGAAUCUAGACAAAGUGCACUCAAAAUACAACUCUAAACCAUUUCUCUUUAUAGAAGUCAGGAAAAGUAUGUGUCCAAAAAAUGUUUUCAACCUUUAUAAGUGUGACCAAGUAUUGUCAACAGCACAGACAAACUUCCCUUAGCAUCAUCAGCAGCAGCAGCAGCAUUUGAAGAUGCAAUCUAAGUGGGAAAUAAAGUGCACUCAGCACAGGUCAAUCAGGAACAGGCUUCUCGAGUUUAACAAUCCAGCCAAUGCAACAUUAGCCAGGGUGAAGCUACCCUCUCUAAUCCUUCUCCUCUCCGCGAGAGUGCCAGAUGUAAAAGCGUUUAACAGCUGCAGAGCUGCAGAUGUGCACCAGGAUGUGAGCACAGGUAAGUGCAAACUAAUCAGGAAGUUGCAACCAGUGCCAGGUUACUAAAUGCUAGCUUUCAUCGAAGCUAACGUUCUGCU